This 496-nucleotide ribosomal RNA is filed under the name uncultured bacterium. RNAcentral's name for it is "partial 16S ribosomal RNA". It matches the Rfam family "Bacterial small subunit ribosomal RNA", at positions 29 to 507 of the family's 1533-position model. The record is from RNAcentral.
AUGAACGCUGGCGGCGUGCCUAAUACCUGCAAGUCGAGCGAACGGACGAGAAGCUUGCUUCUCUGAUGUUAGCGGCGGACGGGUGAGUAACACGUGGAUAACCUACCUAUAAGACUGGGAUAACUUCGGGAAACCGGAGCUAAUACCGGAUAAUAUUUUGAACCGCAUGGUUCAAAAGUGAAAGACGGUCUUGCUGUCACUUAUAGAUGGAUCCGCGCUGCAUUAGCUAGUUGGUAAGGUAACGGCUUACCAAGGCAACGAUGCAUAGCCGACCUGAGAGGUGGGCGGGCCACGUGGGACAUGAGGCACGGCCAACACGCCAGCGGGGGGCACAAGAAGGGAUUCUUCGACAAGGGGCGAAGGCUGGAAGGACAAACCUAGCGGGAGGAAUGAAGGCUUUCGGUUCUUAAAACUCUUUUUUUAGGGAAGAAAAUAUGUGAAAGUACUGAUGCAACUCUGAACGUGACCUAAUAAGAAGGCCCCGGCUAAGUACGUG